This 2052-nucleotide ribosomal RNA is filed under the name metagenome. RNAcentral's name for it is "bacterial LSU rRNA". It matches the Rfam family "Bacterial large subunit ribosomal RNA", at positions 3 to 2142 of the family's 2925-position model. The record is from RNAcentral.
UCAAGCUAAUAAGAGCGCAAGGGGAAUGCCUUGGCAUCAGGAGCCGAUGAAGGACGUGACAAGCUGCGAAAAGCUUCGGGGAGCUGCAAAUGAGCAUUGAUCCGGAGAUAUCCGAAUGGGGAAACCCGGUACGGCAAUACCGUAUCAACGUGCUGUGAAUCAAAUAGCAGUACGUAGGGAACCGCCUGAACUGAAACAUCUAAGUAGGGCGAGGAAAAGACAUCAACCGAGAUUCCGCUAGUAGUGGCGAGCGAACGCGGAAGAGGCCAAACCGAAGGUAGCAAUAUCUUCGGGGUUACGGACAGACAUCAUGAUCAGAGGUAUCUAGACGAACGGCAUGGGAAGGCCGGCGAGACAGUGUGAGAGCCACGUAGUCGAAAGAGAAGACUGACAGUCUGGAUCCAGAGUACCGCAGGACACGAGGAACCCUGUGGGAAGUCGGGGGGACCACCCUCCAAGCCUAAAUACUACCUGAUGACCGAUAGAGGAGAAGUACCGUGAGGGAAAGGUGAAAAGAACCCCGGGAGGGGAGUGAAAUAGUACCUGAAACCUUGUGCUUACAAGCAGUUACAGCCCGUUAAAGGGUGGUAGCGUACUUUUUGUAGAACGGUCCGGCGAGUUAUAGUCACUAGCGAGCUUAAGACAUUCAGUGUUGGAGGCGUAGGGAAACCGAGUCUGAACAGGGCGAAUGAAGUUAGUGGCCAUAGACCCGAAACCAUGUGACCUAGCCAUGAGCAGGAUGAAGUGGAGGUAAAGCUCCAUGGAGGUCCGAACGCACGUUCGUUGCAAUGACCGGCGAUGACUUGUGGCUAGCGGUGAAAUUCCAAUCGAACUUGGAGAUAGCUGGUUCUCCCCGAAAUAGCUUUAGGGCUAGCGUUGGGAAUGAGUUUAGCGGAGGUAAAGCACUGAAUGAGCUAGGGGGCGCAAGCUUACUGAACUCUAUCAAACUAAGAAUGCCGCAUAAAUGCUUCCCAGCAGUCAGACUGCGAGUAAUAAAAUCCGUGGUCAAAAGGGUAACAGCCCAGACCCACAGCUAAGGUCCCCAAUACAUGCUAAGUGGAAAACGAUGUGAGAUUGCAUAAACAACCAGGAUGUUGGCUUAGAGGCAGCCACUCGUUCAAAGAGUGCGUAAUAGCUCACUGGUCGAGUGAUCUUGCGCGGAAAAUUUAACGGGGCUAAGCAUGUAACCGAAGCUUGGGAUUGCGCAAUGCGCAGUGGUAGGGGAGCGUCGUGUACGGGGUGAAGUACGAUCGAGAGGACGUGUGGACUGUACACGAGUGAGAAUGCCGGAAUGAGUAGCGAGAAUUAUGUGGGAAUCAUAAUGGCCGAAAAUCUAAGGUUUCUUGGGGAAGGUUCGUCCGCCCAAGGUAAGCCGGGAGCUAAGGCGAGGCCGAAAGGCGUAGUCGAUGCACAUACGGUUGAAAUUCCGUAGCCACCUUAUCGAUCAAAGCUGACACAUGGAGAUAGCCGAACCCGGGCGUUGGUUGACCCGGGCGAAAGGGACCGAACUACAGUAGGGAAGUCGGCGAUGCUCUGUGGCGAGAAAAGGCGAAGAUAGGGUGCCCGUACCGCAAACCGACACAGGUAGAUGAGGAGAGAAUCCUAAGGCCAACGGGAGAAAGGUUGUUAAGGAACUCGGCAAAAUUGCCCCGUAACUUCGGGAGAAGGGGCGCCCUCGAAAGAGGGCCGCAGUGAAAAGGCCCAAGCGACUGUUUACCAAAAACACAGGUCUCUGCUAAAUCGAAAGAUGACGUAUAGGGGCUGACGCCUGCCCGGUGCUGGAAGGUUAAGAGGAGGACUUAGCGCAAGCGAAGGUCUGAAUUUAAGCCCCAGUAAACGGCGGCCGUAACUAUAACGGUCCUAAGGUAGCGAAAUUCCUUGUCAGGUAAGUUCUGACCCGCACGAAUGGCGUAACGAUUUGGGCACUGUCUCAACAGCCUACCCGGCGAAAUUGUAGUACCGGUGAAGAUGCCGGUUACCCGCAACUAGACGGAAAGACCCCAUGGAGCUUUACUGCAGCUUAAUACUGAGAUUCGGUAAUUCAUGUACAGG